Molecule: small RNA, 65 nt
Filed under: Caenorhabditis brenneri
Lineage: Eukaryota; Metazoa; Nematoda; Chromadorea; Rhabditida; Rhabditidae
Description: snoRNA CBN33992
Rfam family: Nematode sRNA ceN72-3_ceN74-2
Source: Rfam by way of RNAcentral
CGUUCGGUCCGGAGUCAAUGGGUUAUCUUCCAAAACCCUCCCAUUGACACCAACUUGACCGGUGC